ACCGCAUGGUGCAGGGUUGAAAGAUGGUUUCGGCUAUCACUUUAGGAUGGACCCGCGGUGCAUUAGUUAGUUGGUGAGGUAAAGGCUCACCAAGACCGUGAUGCAUAGCCGACCUGAGAGGGUAAUCGGCCACACUGGGACUGAGACACGGCCCAGACUCCUACGGGAGGCAGCAGUAGGGAAUCUUCCACAAUGGACGAAAGUCUGAUGGAGCAACGCCGCGUGAGUGAAGAAGGUUUUCGGAUCGUAAAACUCUGUUGUUGGAGAAGAAUGUAUCUGAUAGUAACUGAUCAGGUAGUGACGGUAUCCAACCAGAAAGCCACGGCUAACUACGUGCCAGCAGCCGCGGUAAUACGUAGGUGGCAAGCGUUGUCCGGAUUUAUUGGGCGUAAAGCGAGCGCAGGCGGUUUCUUAAGUCUGAUGUGAAAGCCUUCGGCUCAACCGAAGAAGUGCAUCGGAAACUGGGAAACUUGAGUGCAGAAGAGGACAGUGGAACUCCAUGUGUAGCGGUGAAAUGCGUAGAUAUAUGGAAGAACACCAGUGGCGAAGGCGGCUGUCUGGUCUGUAACUGACGCUGAGGCUCGAAAGCAUGGGUAGCAAACAGGAUUAGAUACCCUGGUAGUCCAUGCCGUAAACGAUGAGUGCUAGGUGUUGGAGGGUUUCCGCCCUUCAGUGCCGCAGCUAACGCAUUAAGCACUCCGCCUGGGGAGUACGACCGCAAGGUUGAAACUCAAAGGAAUUGACGGGGGCCCGCACAAGCGGUGGAGCAUGUGGUUUAAUUCGAAGCAACGCGAAGAACCUUACCAGGUCUUGACAUCCUUUGACCACUCUAGAGAUAGAGCUUUCCCUUCGGGGACAAAGUGACAGGUGGUGCAUGGUUGUCGUCAGCUCGUGUCGUGAGAUGUUGGGUUAAGUCCCGCAACGAGCGCAACCCUUAUUACUAGUUGCCAGCAUUUAGUUGGGCACUCUAGUGAGACUGCCGGUGACAAACCGGAGGAAGGUGGGGACGACGUCAAAUCAUCAUGCCCCUUAUGACCUGGGCUACACACGUGCUACAAUGGAUGGUACAACGAGUUGCGAGACCGCGAGGUUUAGCUAAUCUCUUAAAACCAUUCUCAGUUCGGAUUGUAGGCUGCAACUCGCCUACAUGAAGCCGGAAUCGCUAGUAAUCGCGGAUCAGCAUGCCGCGGUGAAUACGUUCCCGGGCCUUGUACACACCGCCCGUCACACCAUGAGAGUUUGUAACACCCAAAGCCGGUGAGGUAACCCUUCGGGGAGCCAGCCGUCUAAGGUGGGACAGAUGAUUAGGGUGAAGUCGUAACAAGGUAGCCGUAGGAGAACCUGCGGCUGGAUCACCU
Molecule: ribosomal RNA, 1358 nt
Filed under: Latilactobacillus sakei
Lineage: Bacteria; Bacillati; Bacillota; Bacilli; Lactobacillales; Lactobacillaceae
Description: Lactobacillus sakei ribosomal RNA 16s ribosomal RNA
Rfam family: Bacterial small subunit ribosomal RNA
Source: RNAcentral